Molecule: unclassified non-coding RNA, 161 nt
Filed under: uncultured fungus
Lineage: Eukaryota; Fungi
Description: sequence contains ITS2
Source: RNAcentral
UCAACCAUCAAGUCUGACUUGUCGUUGGGCCCCUUUGCCGGUGAAAUAGGCGGCAGGUCCGAAAGAUAAUGACGGCGUCGUGUUGGACCCUAGAUGCAACGAGCUUUUGACAGCACGCAUUGAAGUGGCCGACCGACCCGGUCUUAACCAUCAUUUUCUCA